ACAAGCGGUGGAUCAUGUUGUUUAAUUUCGAUGAUACGCGAAGAACCUUACCAGGUCUUGACAUCCCCGCGAUGCCUUAGAGAUAAAGCGGAGGUAUUCGGGGAGACAGGUGGUGCAUGGUUGUCGUCAGCUCGUGUCGUGAGAUGUUGGGUUAAGUCCCGCAACGAGCGCAACCCUAUUGCUAGUUACCAUCAUUAAGUUGGGGGCUCUAGCGAGACUGCCAGUGAUAAACUGGAGGAAGGUGGGGAUGACGUCAAAUCAUCAUGCCCCUUAUGACCUGGGCUACAAACGUGAUACAAUGGCUGGAACAAAGGGAUGCGAAGCAGUGAUGUGGAGCGAAACCCAUAAAAACAGUCUCAGUUCGGAUUGAAGUCUGCAACUCGACUUCAUGAAGUCGGAAUCGCUAGUAAUCGCGGAUCAGAACGCCGCGGUGAAUACGUUCUCGGGGUUU
RNAcentral lists this ribosomal RNA (451 nucleotides) under uncultured Acholeplasma sp. RNAcentral's name for it is "bacterial SSU rRNA". It matches the Rfam family "Bacterial small subunit ribosomal RNA", at positions 925 to 1382 of the family's 1533-position model. Lineage: Bacteria; Bacillati; Mycoplasmatota; Mollicutes; Acholeplasmatales; Acholeplasmataceae. The record is from RNAcentral.